This 264-nucleotide ribosomal RNA is filed under the name uncultured archaeon. RNAcentral's name for it is "partial 16S ribosomal RNA". It matches the Rfam family "Archaeal small subunit ribosomal RNA", at positions 717 to 982 of the family's 1478-position model. The record is from RNAcentral.
ACACGACUACAUUAGAUACCCGGGUAGUCCUAGCCGUAAACGAUACUCGCUAGGUGUCGGCCACGGUGCGACCGUUGUCGGUGCCGUAGGGAAACCGUGAAACGUGCCGCCUGGGAAGUACGGUCGCAAGGCUGAAACUUAAAGGAAUUGCGGGGGAGCACCACAACGGGUGGAGCCUGCGGUUUAAUUGGACUCAACGCCGGGAAGCUCACCGGAUAAGACAGCGGAAUGAUUGCCGGGCUGAAGACCCUGCAUGACCAGCUG